Haliotis rubra (blacklip abalone) is the source of this 164-nucleotide long non-coding RNA. RefSeq lists it as uncharacterized. The transcript has 3 exons. NCBI's taxonomy places the organism in Eukaryota, Metazoa, Mollusca, Gastropoda, Lepetellida, Haliotidae. The record is from RefSeq and is a predicted model, not a curated record.
AAACACUCUAACACUUGUGUGAUGAUAGAUGAUUGUCAAAACUAAUGGUCUGCAGUGAUUUAUUGACCUUCUUGAAAACUGUCAAAAUCAAGAAUGACACCCCAUGCACGUGUAUUGGGCUACUGCGUUGUGCACGUGCAUCCCAUGCGUUGUGUUUAGGGGUG